Molecule: transfer RNA, 83 nt
Filed under: Turneriella parva DSM 21527
Lineage: Bacteria; Pseudomonadati; Spirochaetota; Leptospiria; Leptospirales; Leptospiraceae
Also listed under: 3 other names
Description: tRNA-Tyr (GTA) (tRNA-Tyr-GTA-1-1)
Rfam family: tRNA
About the family: Transfer RNA (tRNA) molecules are approximately 80 nucleotides in length. Their secondary structure includes four short double-helical elements and three loops (D, anti-codon, and T loops). Further hydrogen bonds mediate the characteristic L-shaped molecular structure. tRNAs have two regions of fundamental functional importance: the anti-codon, which is responsible for specific mRNA codon recognition, and the 3' end, to which the tRNAs corresponding amino acid is attached (by aminoacyl-tRNA synthetases). tRNAs cope with the degeneracy of the genetic code in two manners: having more than one tRNA (with a specific anti-codon) for a particular amino acid; and 'wobble' base-pairing, i.e. permitting non-standard base-pairing at the 3rd anti-codon position.
Source: Rfam by way of RNAcentral
GGGUAGGUGGCCGAGUGGUUAAUGGCGCCAGACUGUAAAUCUGGUCUCUCCGGAGUACGAAGGUUCGAAUCCUUCCCUGCCCA